UGCAUGACAGUAUCACUUGUGUACAGUUCACUCUCUCCCCGAAUGCGGCGAAAGCGAGGGAUCUUGCCAUUGUAUUCCUGCUUCCGGAUUGUAGAGUACACUUCAUCCCCUGGGAUAGUAGGAGGACAUGUGGCUGCAGCAAACUUUGGACACCCAAACAGGACAUGACCCAGUCCAGGCAAAAACAAACCUGCCGGUUCCUCAAGGUCUGCCCCAAAUCCUUCUUCCUGCCACUUAAGCCAUUCCUAAUGAUCGUGCAUCCAUCAGAGGCAAGGAAUGGCAGGAGUACACAGUGUGCGACUCAUUCCCUUUCCUGAGUACACGCUUCUGCACAGCCAAGUGAUCCCAGACAGACAGUGGGAAGAGUUCAGAUUCUGCAUCUCUGCUGUGGCCUGGCUCACUGUGCCGAGGAGAAAACCAAGGCCCUCUGGGAGACAAGCCUGGCCCAAGGUCACAUCAGCAAGCAGGGCAGAAUGUUUCAUCCGGACAGUAUCAGUUCUCAAGAACAUUCCUGGAGAUGUGAGCCUAGCUGGGUACAGACUGAAGUGCUGAGUCCA
Non-coding RNA from Rattus norvegicus (Norway rat), 557 nucleotides. The record is from RefSeq and is a predicted model, not a curated record. Lineage: Eukaryota; Metazoa; Chordata; Mammalia; Rodentia; Muridae.